RNAcentral lists this long non-coding RNA (7100 nucleotides) under Triticum aestivum (bread wheat). RNAcentral's name for it is "long non-coding RNA (TAES_LNC010300)". The record is from RNAcentral. Lineage: Eukaryota; Viridiplantae; Streptophyta; Magnoliopsida; Poales; Poaceae.
UGAUAAUUUUAAUGGUUUAUCUAAGGUGGCAACUUAAACACACAUCUGGGUGGAUUGAGGCACCUCAUGUCUAUCAGGACUUGCCUGUUUUUUUUUUGGACCGCCACCCAGGCUCAAAGGGAUCAUAAGAUCUUUCAUGCUAAAUACUUACGUGUGCAGCCACAAGCCAUUAUGGGCUCUGGCAUAGUUGACUAAGUCAUGCGAACUCUUAUAGGGGUAGACUAGCAGAUGUAGGGGUUGUAGGUGGUACGGUCUACUCCAUCGUAAGGUGCUAGCGCUUCUGAAAGACUAUGUCUCGGUCAUCCGUUUUUCAAACACCAUGUAGUGCGAGAAACCAAACGGAGGCGAUCGAGUCUUGUGGGGAAAAGUGCGCAAACCUCUGCAGAGUGUACAAACUAAUCAUGAUUAGCUGUGUCCCCGGUUAUGGACAACUUGAGUAUCUAGUACUUGAAUAUCAUGUGAAUCUCGACAUGUUACUUCUAAUUAAUGUUAUUGGGUUUUAAUUAUUUUAAUUGGGAUUGAGAAUGCUGUCAACCAUUCUCAAUGUUUCACAACCACCAUGAUAGUUAAAUAAACUUAUUCCUUUGCAGUAGGGAAAAACUGGCUUUACGCAAAACUGUACCAUAGAGCUUUCCACCAGCCAUAUAUGCAUAUAGUAUAGCUGUUUCAUUCCAUUACUCUCUAUGUGUUACAUUGCCAGCAUAUUCCAUGUGCUGGCCCGUUUUCGGGCUGCAACUUCUCAUGUUGCAGACUUUUCAGACGAUGAGUAAGGAGUUUUUAGGUCGUGGUUCUAUACCCAGUGACGCCGCUGGAGUUGAUGGACCCAUUUAUCUGCCAAGUCUUCCGCUGUUAUCGACACUAGAUGGCCUUAAGCCAUGUUUAUUGUAAUAAGUUCUCUUUAAGACAACAAUGUAAUAAGUGUGUGAUUGCCACUCUGCUAUAAAUCCUUCGAUGUACUGUGUGGUGUCAGCAUUACUGAUCCAGGGAUGACACCUGAGAACAGAGCGCUUGAUCCAUUCGGAUCGGGUCGCGACAGAGAUGGUAUCAGAGCACACGCUGACUGUAGGACACGACCACUAAGUUAAAGCCAUAGGUCACCAUUCUCUUCUCAUUUUCUAACUUCUUAUCUUUUCUACUCUAUUAGGAUGAAGAACGCGAAGAUUAAGUACGCUCAACCGGAUGAAGGCACACCAUUUGGAUUUCACCUGAAGGAAGUCACCAAGUACCUGAACAUUGGAUUACCAAGCUUCACGGGAACCAUCAACGCCACUCUGCCUGAAGAGGAGCGCUAGAAGAUUCAAGCUCACGUUCUGGGAAGGACAUUCGCGCCAAUCACGAAACCCAUAGAUAGUGUUUCCGAUGCACCAACCUGGAGUCUGGGAAGGAGCAUGGCAGCUCAUAUCACCAUAGGACGCAUUGGAGAAGUUUACCAAGAAGACCUCAAGGACACUAUCUACCAGAUUUGCGCACGCCGAGAUGAACAAUGGGAGUUAGUCAGCACCAAGAAGGAUAGAUCCAUUCCAUCGUUCAUCCAGGAGUUAAACCAGCACAUUCGACGCCACGAGAACCAGAUGUGCAAUGAUAUGGUAGAGUUGAAGAAUGCGAAGGCAAGGAUCAUCGAGCUAGAAGGAGAACUGAAGUCUACACGCAAGGACUACAUGGACGAGAUCAUAGCUCUAGCAAGACACAACGUCGAUCUUAAGCAGGAGAUUGAAGAACUCAAGAGGAAGUUAGGAUCCAAGGAGGAAGACAAGUACGUCGCAUGUCCGGACAACUACAUCAUCAUUGACGACACCGAUUCGGAUCCAAGUGAACCUGACUUUGAAGACGAAGCUGGAGCAGAUAUCAUGGAGUCUUCCACCGGUUCAAAUUUCUAGAUGACCACCAAAUAGUAGUAGUAUUCCCCCAUGUAAACAUUAUAGUCGAGCACUUUUGCGAUAGUUAGACCGUUUGUAAGCCCUUGUUUGAUUGAUUGAAGUGAAUUGUGUGUUUUUGCUCAUGUGCAUAUGGGUAGUGUUUUCCCUUUAGACCCCCUCUAUUCUCAAUUCUCGUCUUUUCUAAACCCUCAAAUGCCUCCGAGACAUGACCCCGGAUCUACCAUUAAGGAUUGGUAACUAUGUGUUUCCCUCAGACCUAAUAGUAUUGGAAUCACAAGGAUUGGAUGUGAUAUUAGGCAUGGAUUGGUUAUCAAAGUAUGAAGGGAAUAUUGAGUGUGCUAGUAAGUCAAUUUUUCUUACCACACCAGAAGGAAGAAGGAUCAAGUAUGUAUCCCGGCAUGUGCCAAACAGGACACAAGUAAACUGCCUAACAGGAGUUGUGCAGGAGGAAGUACCAAUGGUAAAGGAUUAUCCUCAUGUAUUUCCUGAGGAAUUGCCAGGCAUGCCACCGGAUAGAGACAUUGAGUUUUUGAUUGAGUUAUUGCCAGGUACAGGCCCAAUAUCAAAGCGACCAUACCGGAUGCCAGCAAAGGAUUUGGUGGAAAUUAAGAAUCAAAUUAAGGAGUUAUUGGAUAAAGGUUACAUUCGCCCAAGUUCUUCGCCUUGGGGAUCACCUGUACUUCUAGUGCAAAAGAAGGAUGGAUCAUUAAGGAUGGUUGUAGAUUAUCAGGGAUUGAAUGAAGUAACCAUCAAGAAUAAGUAGCCACUGCCAAUGAUCAACGAUCUGUUUGAUCGGUUGCAAGGAGCUAAAGUGUUUUCCAAGAUCGAUUUGCGAUCAGGGUACCAUCAGUUGAAAAUUCAAGAGCAGGACAUACCUAAGACAUCAUUCACCACGAGAUAUGGACUGUAUGAGUAUACCGUUAUGUCAUUUGGAUUGACUAACGCACCGGCCUAUUUUAUGAACCUGAUGAACAAAGUGUUUAUGGAUUUUUUGGAUAAGUUCAUCGUAGUGUUCAUUGAUGACAUCCUGGUGUAUUCGAAGAAUGAAGAGGAGCAUAAGGAACAUUUGCGUUUGGUUUUGGAGAAACUAAGGGAACAUCAGUUAUACGCCAAAUUCAGCAAAUGUGAGUUUUGGUUAAAGGAAGUUGGAUUCCUCGGACACGUUAUAUCCGGAGAAGGUAUGUCAGUUGACCCCACUAAGGUUGAGACCGUAACUGAAUGGGAAUCCCCAACGAUAGUUGGAGAGAUCCGGAGUUUUCUUGGACUCGCAGGAUACUACCGGAGAUUCAUUGAGAACUUUUCAAAGAUUGCAAAGCCUAUGACUGAAUUGUUGAAGAAGGACACUAAGUUCAAAUGGACUGAGGAGUGUGAGGCUAGUUUCCAGGAGUUGAAGAAACGUUUGGUUACCUCACCAGUAUUGAUUUUGCCAGAUCAGACCAAGGAUUAUGAGGUGUAUUGCGACGCUUCACGUCGAGGACUUGGAGCAGUGCUUAUGCAGGAAGGAAGAGUUGUUUCGUAUGCUUCACGACAACUGAAGCCUCAUGAGUUGAAUUAUGCCACGCAUGAUUUGGAGUUAGCAGCCGUAGUGCAUGCAUUGAAGACGUGGAGACAUUUCCUCAUUGGAAAUCAUUGUGAUGUGUACACAGAUCACAAGAGUUUGAAGUACAUUUUCACGCAGAAGGAGUUGAAUCUUAGACAAAGGAGAUGGUUGGAGCUCAUCAAGGAUUAUGAUAUGAGAUUGCAUUACCAUCCCGGAAAAGCUAAUGUAGUAGCUGACGCAUUGAGCCGUAAGAGCCAUGUCAACACCCUAGUGACGGGAGAAGUACCAAAGGAGUUAGCAGAAAACCUUCGUGAGCUAUGUUUGGAAAUAGUUCCGAGAGGCUAUGUAGCAGCAUUGGAGAUUCAGUCAACAUUGAUGGAUAAGAUCAGAGAAGCUCAGAAAUCUGACAAGGAAAUUGCUGCUAUAAAAGAGAAAUUGAGCGAAGGAAAAGCAAAGGGAUUUCGUGAGGAUGAGCACGAUACCCUAUGGUUUGAGGACCGUGUUUAUGUGCCCAAUGACCGGGAGAUCAGGAAGUUGAUUUUGCAAGAGGCACAUGAUUUGCCGUAUUCGAUUCACCCAGGGAAUACCAAGAUGUAUUUGGAUUUGAAAGAAACAUUCUGGUGGACCGGAAUGAAGAAGGAUAUUGCAGCAUAUGUAGCGGUUUGUGACGUAUGUCAGAGAGUAAAGGCAGAGCAUCAGAAGCCAGCAGGAUUGUUACAACCAUUGCCGAUACCCGAAUGGAAGUGGGAUAAGAUAGGCAUGGAUUUUAUCACAGGACUACCCAGGACGAAAGCAGGCUACGAUUCGAUAUGGGUAGUAGUGGAUCGUUUGACGAAGGUAGCGCAUUUCAUUCCAGUUAAGACCACUUACACCAGUGUUAAGUUGGCGAAGAUAUACAUGACUAGAAUCGUUUGUUUGCAUGGAGUUUCGAGGAGUAUCGUAUUAGAUAAUAGUUUCGUCCCAUGACAACAGUUACGAAGUUGGAGACCGUCAAUUCUUUGGACCAGAUUUGAUUAAGGAGUCUGAACGGAAGGUUAAGUUGAUUCGCGAUAGGCUCAAGGUAGCCCAGUCUAGGCGGAAGAGCUACGCAGAUUCAAAACGCAAGGAGACAGUUUACGAAACCGGAGACAGAGUUUAUCUUCGACUAUCCCCACUUCGAGGAGUUAAGUGCUUUGGAGUUAAGGGAAAGUUAGCACCGCGUUUCGUUAGACCGUAUAAGAUUUUGCAACGUAUGGGAGAAGUCGCUUAUAAGUUGGAAUUACCAGAGGGAUUGUCAGGAGUUCAUGACGUAUUCCAUGUUUCUCAGCUGAAGAAAUGUCAUGCCGAGAUGGUGGAGGUACCGUUAAGAGAUACCGUACCACUUGAAGCGAUUCAGUUGAAGGAUGACUUAACGUAUGAGGAGAAGCCAGUCAAGAUUCUCGAGUUUGCCAGCAGAGUUACUCGCAGCAAGGUUAUCAAGUUUUGCAAAGUUCAGUGGAACCACCACUCAGAGGAUGAAGCCACCUGGGAGAGAGAAGAAGAUUUGCUCAAGGACCACCCUCACCUAUUUUCUAGCCAGCCCGAAUCUCGAGGGCGAGAUUCAUCUUAAGGGGGGUAGGUUUGUAACAUCCCAAAUUUGCAAUUUGGAAUGUUAUACAUAGAUCAUCAUGCAUAUCAUAUUUCUUGCAUUUUGGUUGAUCCUAGAAAUUUCACGCAACUCAAGGACCUUCGGAGAGAGUUGGAGAUUUCGUUAUUUUCCUAAUUGAGCUCUCUCAAAUUUUGGAAAAAGAGGAUCAUUUGAUUUAUUUAUUUUAUCUUCAAUUAUUUUUCUGGUGUCAAAAUAUAUGAGAGAGGGAAUAAUAUGAUUUUCCCAAAUUUAGGAAAAAUGAAGAUUUAAUAAAUAGAUCAAUUUGGUUUUGCCGGAGUUUAUUUGCAUUCUUUUGGAUAGGGAAAAAUGCGCGUUUUCAAAAAUUGCAUUUUAGGUCCGGAGUAAAGUUCAUUUUGUUCGGCUCAUUUUUAGGAGUCGGAGAAAAUUUACUUUAGAUUUUUCGGAGUUCGUUUAGUUCUCCUUUUUGUUUUUUUUCUGCGCACUGAACCGUUUUUUUUUAAAAGAGAGAGCCAGGCCAGCCGGGCCUAAAGCCCAGCCAGCCGGCCGGCCCCUCCCCUCGCGCGCGCGCAACCAGGCGCAGGCAGGCAGCCGCCUCGCCUCUUGCCUCAAGCCGAGUCCCAGUGGGACUUAGGCCGGCCCUUUCCUUGUUCCGUUUUCUUUUCAUUUUUCUACUAGGACUCUUUUCCUAAUCCUAGUCUAUUUCUUGUCCCCUACCCCAAGUCUCCUCACCCCUCCCCAAUAUAAAUACCCAAGCACCCCCCCCUCUAAACACAUCAAAUCAAAGCCGCAGCAAGCAGCAGCGCGCCACCCCACACACGCCGCCGCCGCACCUUGCCCACGCCGCCGCCCUACGCCACGCCGCUGGAGCCCCUCGCUGGAGACCUCGCUGGAGGUUGCCCCGCGUCUCUUUUCCUCGGAUCGUUUUCUUCUAAUUGUUCCGAUUCUUUUCUUCUCUUCCGAUUCGUUUUCUAGAUCGGUUUUCCGUUUCUUUUUCAGUUUUCUUCUCCAAAACCCUAGAUCGGAUUCGUUUUCUUCUCAGAUUUAGUUGCCUUUGGACCGUUAGCCGGACCGUUCGUCCUAACAAACGUGAUCACCGGAUUCUUCUAGGUUAACGACGCCCAUUCGUUUAACCGUUCUUCUUUUUCUUUCUGUCGGAUUUAUUCCGCGAUCGUGAUCUCAGAUCCGAUCUUCGUUUUAGUUUUUCUCCCCGCUCGUUUAUCGGAAUCAGGUGAUUCAAGCGCCUGGAGUUUCGUUUCGAAACCGCCGUUUCGUAUAAUCAACUUAAACAAGUUUUUGCCCCGGUAAAAUUUGACCUAGUUUCAACUUGCUAGAACCGAGUUGUUUUCUUCCGCCGUUUGUUUUCCGUUUCUUUGUUCGGAUCGUUCUUUCUUUGCAACCGGAGUUCUUAAGUUGAACUUUCUGGUUCGUUCUCUUGUUUGAGUUUUACCUGUGCAUUAGAUGAGUACUUAUUGUAUGCUUGUUGUUUGUCUGCGAUAGAUCACCCGGAUUGCGCCGCCUGUUACUUCGAUUCCCUAGGACUCGCGAAUCAUCAGCAAGGCAAGUAACACUUUGAUCAUACCUUUUCUACAACCCAUGUUUUAUUGCAUUAGAUCAAUCCUCUCACAUUUCAUGAUUAGGAUCUAAUUAAAUUGUGGGAUGGGAAGUAGAUGAGGUAGUACCUAUCACCUGUAUUAUUAUGAAACCUUUGGGAGUUACUUCUACGUUUGCUUAUUAUGCCAUGCUAUGCUAGUAGACGUGGAUUGGGUGAGUGAUAUCCAUGACAGAUGUGAGUUGAUAAUUUUAAUGGUUUAUCUAAGGUGGCAACUUAAACACACAUCUGGGUGGAUUGAGGCACCUGAUGUCUAUCAGGACUUGCCUGUUUUUUUGGACCGCCACCCAGGCUCAAAGGGAUCAUAAGAUCUUUCAUGCUAAAUACUUACGUGUGCAUCCACAAGCCAUUAUGGGCUCUGGCAUAGUUGACUAAGUCGUGCGAACUCUUAUAGGGGUAGACUAGCAGAUGUAGGGGUUGUAGGUGGUACGGUCUACUCCAUCGUAAGGUGCUAGCGCUUCUGAAAGACUAUGUCUCGGUCAUCCG